This 445-nucleotide ribosomal RNA is filed under the name uncultured cyanobacterium. RNAcentral describes it as "bacterial SSU rRNA". It matches the Rfam family "Bacterial small subunit ribosomal RNA", at positions 338 to 795 of the family's 1533-position model. Lineage: Bacteria; Bacillati; Cyanobacteriota. The record is from RNAcentral.
CCUACGGGAGGCAGCAGUGGGGAAUUUUCCGCAAUGGGCGAAAGCCUGACAGAGCAAUACCGCGUGAGGGAUGAAGACUUACUGAGUUGUAAACCUCGGUGCCUUAAGGAAGAAGAUAUGACGGUACUUAAGGUGGAAAGCAUCGGCUAACUCCGUGCCAGCAGCCGCGGUAAGACGGGGGAUGCAAGUGUUAUCCGGAAUCACUGGGCGUAAAGCGUCUGCAGGUGGUUUUCUAAGUCUACUGUUAAACCUUGAGGCUCAACCUCAAAUCUGCAGUGGAAACUAGGAGACUUGAGUAUAGUAGGGGUAGAGGGAAUUCCUGGUGUAGCGGUGAAAUGCGUAGAGAUCAGGAAGAACAUCGGUGGCGAAGGCGCUUUGCUGGACCAUAACUGACACUCAGGGACGAAAGCUAGGGGAGCGAAUGGGAUUAGAUACCCCUGUAGUC